UGGGGGAUAUUGCACAAUGGGCGAAAGCCUGAUGCAGCGACGCCGCGUGAGGGAAGACGGUUUUCGGAUUGUAAACCUCUGUCUUCGGGGACGAAACAAGACGGUACCCGAGGAGGAAGCCACGGCUAACUACGUGCCAGCAGCCGCGGUAAUACGUAGGUGGCAAGCGUUGUCCGGAAUUACUGGGUGUAAAGGGAGUGUAGGCGGGGCUUCAAGUCCGUUGUGAAACCGAUCGGCUCAACUGAUCGUUGCGGCGGAAACUGGAGUUCUUGAGUGAGGUAGAGGCAGGCGGAAUUCCCAGUGUAGCGGUGAAAUGCGUAGAUAUUGGGAGGAACACCAGUGGCGAAGGCGGCCUGCUGGGCCUUAACUGACGCUGAGGCUCGAAAGUGUGGGGAGCAAACAGG
This 404-nucleotide ribosomal RNA is filed under the name uncultured prokaryote. RNAcentral describes it as "bacterial SSU rRNA". It matches the Rfam family "Bacterial small subunit ribosomal RNA", at positions 355 to 776 of the family's 1533-position model. RNAcentral also lists the same sequence under 1 other name. The record is from RNAcentral.